RNAcentral lists this ribosomal RNA (253 nucleotides) under uncultured bacterium. RNAcentral describes it as "partial 16S ribosomal RNA". It matches the Rfam family "Bacterial small subunit ribosomal RNA", at positions 524 to 776 of the family's 1533-position model. The record is from RNAcentral.
UACGGAGGGGGCUAGCGUUGUUCGGAAUUACUGGGCGUAAAGCGCGCGUAGGCGGUUUUUCAAGUCAGAGGUGAAAGCCCGGAGCUCAACUCCGGAAUAGCCUUUGAAACUGGAUAACUUGAGUCUUGGAGAGGCGAGUGGAAUUCCGAGUGUAGAGGUGAAAUUCGUAGAUAUUCGGAAGAACACCAGUGGCGAAGGCGACUCGCUGGACAAGUACUGACGCUGAGGUGCGAAAGCGUGGGGAGCAAACAGG